GAAUGGCACCACGAAGGUUAUACUGUCUCCCCUUUUUAAUCAGUGAAACUAAUCUCCCCGUGAAGAAGCGGGAAUAAAACUAUAAGACGAGAAGACCCUAUGGAGCUUUAGACUACAUAACAAUUGCUAUCUAUUUAUUUAUCCCCCGGGAACUCAAUUAUAUUAAUUCAUAUUGAUUACUAGUCUUAGGUUGGGGUGACCGCGGAGUAAAAUACAACCUCCAUGAUGAAAGAAACUUAAUUUCUUAACCCAGAGUUACAACUCUAAGUACCAAAAAUUUGACAUAAAUUGACCCAAUAAUUUGAUCAACGAACCAAGUUACCCUAGGGAUAACAGCGCAAUCUACUUCAAGAGUCCCUAUCGACAAGUAG
RNAcentral lists this ribosomal RNA (371 nucleotides) under Physalaemus cuvieri (barker frog). RNAcentral describes it as "partial 16S ribosomal RNA". It matches the Rfam family "Bacterial large subunit ribosomal RNA", at positions 1994 to 2515 of the family's 2925-position model. Lineage: Eukaryota; Metazoa; Chordata; Amphibia; Anura; Leptodactylidae. The record is from RNAcentral.